This is a long non-coding RNA of Esox lucius (northern pike), 572 nucleotides long. Lineage: Eukaryota; Metazoa; Chordata; Actinopteri; Esociformes; Esocidae. The record is from Ensembl.
AAAUGACAUUUACUCAUAUCCAUUUUCUAUUUAAGGAAAACAAACCUCAGCUGCAGGAAUCACGGUGGUUGUUUUGUUUCUGGUUCUCCUACUCCUUCUUUUUGGCCUCAUGUGGUUUAGAAAGAAGCCCUCCAAAUUCACAGCAGACAAUGGACACGUGAGUCUGUUGAAUCAGAAGAUCACUUGGAUGUCAACGUUUAGUGGAACACAUCCUCAUCUUGUCUGUCCUUUCUCCAUCAGGGAUAUUCCAUCAGAUUGACAGCGGCUCAAGUAGCUGAAGAGGAACUCUCUAUUAUCUACAUCACAGGCCACAACACAGAACCAAGAGGACCGGACCACACCAAGACAUGAAUGUAGGACAAUCUGGAAAAAAAAGAAAAAAGAAUAGCCCCAGCCAGAACCUGAGAGGAAUACAUGGUUGCAGUGGGUCUUGUUAUAUUGGCACUAAAUUGAGGAUUACAAUUACUUCCACAAUGCAUUAUUUUAGUGUGCAACUACGCAACAUGUAAUUAUAACAGCUCUUGGUACAUGUCUGACCAUCACGUUAAAUGUUUCAAUUUGUCUAUUCAGGG